RNAcentral lists this ribosomal RNA (4209 nucleotides) under Triticum aestivum (bread wheat). RNAcentral describes it as "partial small subunit ribosomal RNA". The record is from RNAcentral. Lineage: Eukaryota; Viridiplantae; Streptophyta; Magnoliopsida; Poales; Poaceae.
CGAAAACACCCGAGCAAGGAGCAAUGACACAAGCACUUCUCUCGAACAGAAAAGAAAAAGGCCGAGAACAGGAGCUAGGGUUUGAAUCACCAUCUCUCCGGCCUACCCGCCGGUGCUCCGGUCACGCCUCUGCUCCUCUUCCCCCCUCUUCUCGCCCCCUUAUCCUCCACCCUAUUUUUCGACUGUUAGGCGCCACGAAGCCAGCCAUCACUCCAGGACCUCGUCUUCGUCUGCAUGGCGAGAAAAAAGGGCGACGGCGGAAAAUAUCUCCGGUUCCUUGGAGAUGUCGGCGAUAUCCCAGGCGAUCCGGGCCUGCGCGGUCGAGUCUGGGGCGUCGACGACGAGCCUGGUGUCCAUGGAUGCGAUGAGGGCGGGAGGGGCGUGGGCCAAGGGGCCACCCGCGGCGGAGCGCGGUACCGGGCGCGGCGGCAAGGGGGGCCGUGGAGGACGGGGCGCGCGUGCAGUCGGUGUUCAUCAGCUGCCCCGGGGUGGGCAAGGCCACCUAUGCCAGCUGCCUUUUGCGGCUCCACGGCAUGCCCCACAUCACCACUGGCGCUCUCAUCCAAAGGGCCCCCUCCAAGCGCGCCGCCACCAUCUGCCCCGCCUACCGCGGGCCGCCGGCCAAUCCCCCACCGUUGAGCGCCGCCACCGCCUACCCUCCUCCCAUCGGGAUCCCCUUGGAUCCAAAAAUCCAUCCACCCAGUCCUCGCCGCGAUUUCCAAAUUGAACCUACCGUCAUCCGGCGUACUGGCAGGGUGUGGGGAGAGAUCCAGAUGGCGACGCCGGACUAGAGGUCGGAGGCAGCGAGGUCCGACAGAGAAGGGCGAGGUGCGGCAGAGGAGGCGACGGGUGGGCUGAUGUUAGCGACAAAUAGCGGCUGGGUCGGGCACUCAGUGAGGCAGAUGCACGGGGGCAUAGCUGCGCAGGGAAGCUGCAACCGCCGAGAAAACCCGUCAGCACGCCAAUGGCCGCGGGCCACAGAUGCGGCGGCCUUGACAUCUCAUGGAUGACGCACAUCGGCGUGCUGCUUGAGCGUGAGGGCAAGGAAAGCAUCGAGCAGGCGGUCAUCCGGCAGGCGGCGUCACAGAGCCUCGUGGAGCAUGCAGAGGAGGAGAUCCAUCUCAAACCCUUACCAUGAGUAGACUGCCGAAAUUCUUCAUAAAGGCCUCCACUGACUGACAGAGGUAUGCCAUCUCUCUGCUCUGCAUCCCUAAACUGAAAUAUCUGCAGAUUUAGCAAAUGUUUGUCUCGAGGUCUGCAUGAGACCAUGAGCCUUUACAGUUCCAGAGCUUAAUUGUUUUUGCUCUAUGGACAUUGCAAGAUGCCGAGGCCUUAUACUUAGGAAGCAAUUUAAGACAGUCCCACACCAUUCUGCUUUGCACAGGCAGGUGAUUUUGAUAAUAUAGUUCCCAUGUGAGUUUCAUUUAAGGUUGGUCAAUUUGGCACUCAUUUUGGAUAUGAAGGUGAAUAACUCCUAGGCGUCAAGAAUCCUUAGGUUUGCACACCAUACGCCAUGCUGCAAAGGAAGGAUUAUGCUUUGUCAAGUCUCCCCCUCUUCAUAAUCAUUGCCUUCUUUGUUUGUCAAUUUUCUCAUUGAUUUAUUUUUAUACCAUAAGGGAACAUAGAUGAGAAGUAGAGAAUGAGGUCAUGGCUGUAUAUACCAUCUGUAGUUUUUCUUAUGUGGCGUAGAAACCGAGCAUAGCUCUGAACCGUAAGCUGGCUCAACACUCUAUCUUCCAUUGUUUCAGGGUAUCAUUAGUUUAAUGCCAGGCUAAGGCUUUUUUCCAAAAAUAAUUCAAGGAAAACCAAUGCCAAAGGUCAUGCGUCCUCGUGGACCUAGGUCCACCUAAACAUAACUUAAUGGGAUAAGGUUCAGAUUAAAUAAUUUUAGAAAGUUUCACACUUGAUGCAAAAUAUUAUAGUUUAGUGUUCACGUUGGACCAAGAUUUAAUAGUAGAGAUUGCUUGGAUUAAGUGGGGGUGAAGAUGUUCUUGCUGUCUAUAUCUGGAAUAAAAACCUGAUGAAGAUCCUUCCGAGGUAAGGUUCUCUUUGACUGUUCGUUCUUUGAACUCUUUUCCCGUCUCCUUAUAUUCAUGACUUAGUUCUAUUUUUGUGUAGGCGUUUCAAAUGUGCCUCUUCUCGCACUGAAUAGGGCCAUCAACGGAGCAGUCAAAGAAGCAACACUGCAGUAGCAAAAAAAAUGAUACGUGGCACUCUCCCAGUGUCCGCGCCCAGUAUAAUGUCAAAAUAGUAGUUGCUUCUUGUUCUUCAGAAAGUAAAUUUAAACAUCUGUUGUAAGAUUCCAGUACAAGCAAGAUUUUUAUGUGAGAUAGUAGCCGUGUUAUAUUUACAAAAUAAGGUUCUUUACUCCUAAGUCUAAUGUUUUGUGCCUCACGUCUGAAUUCAGGUCAAGGCAACCGCUGCUAGCUGCUCUGCCACAAGUACGAAAACAAACGUAGUUCUUUGCCUAAAAGGUGAAAACAAUUGUACUAAGCACCAACACAAUCACGUUUAGGUAGGGGUGAAGCCAGUAGUCAAUGAGUCAUCUCCAUACUCCAGGUUCAACACUAACUACUGUUUGAUUAGUGUGGUAUUGCCGAAAACAAUAGUACCAAGCACUAACACAAUCACCUGAGUAUAUCACAUGGGUAUAGCACUGAUUACUAUUUGAUUACCAUUAUACAGAUUUUGAAGGUAAGACAUUCAAAGUCGGUCUGUAAACGCGCUGGGGUUGUUUCUUAUCAUCAAUGGGGACUACAUGUUUUGAACGGACCAUUUUUAUCCCAUAUCUAAUAGUUCUGAUAACAAAUAGACACUGCUUUACUUUCAACUUUUUUGUAUGGGUGUGUCGUUUUAUUAAUUUAGGAAAUUGGAAGUGAUAUGUUGGUUUUACAGUUGUGACACAGUUAAAGUUGUACUUGCUAAUGAUACCAGGUGGCAUUUUGAGAAUGUGUCAUUUUCUUGAAAUAAUCACCAUUGUUUUCUCACUUCGUCUUUAUCUUAAAAGAUGGAGCACAUAUUGGCAUACACUAGAACAUUGUAACAGGCUUGACGAUCAAAACAUCUGUUGUCGGCUUGUUCAUCUUGUAUUUGCUAAAACCAGAUGCACAUUGAGUUUAUAUAAAAAGAAUUGUACCCCAAUCUGCUUCUCCUGUUCAUUGUAUCCACAGAUUUUGUAAAUCAGCGUAUCGUAUGCUUCUCAUGUCCAGAUUCAGUGGUUCACUUCAUUUUUGCCAGGUGUGUAUAGCUGACUGCUAUUUGAUUGCCCCGUUGACAUGAUAGAUGAGGCAAGGGCCAGGAGAGGAGAACUGAGGACCAGAAAGCAUAGGAACAGAUUUUGCUGCAUUAGCCAAGGAUAAAAAAAGAAAAGAGGGGAAAAGAAGCGGAGGAUAAAGAUUUGGCCAAUGAUCCGAUAUGUCUUCACUUCAAGGGUAACCUUGUACUUAGUCCUAAGAUCGUAGGUUGAUGUUUGGAUUGAGAAUUAUUGCCUGGUUAAGGCAACUGCUAAUUAGAAUAUGAAUAUAAAGGUUUUAAAAUCAAAAUUGUGUAUAAACAGUUUAGAAUUUGAUAUAGUAGUAAAUGCAAAGUUGUAGAGCAUCUGAAGGAGGCUAUAGUUUGUACUCCCCCCGUCUCACAAUGUAAGACUUUUUUGCAAACAAGGCAGUAGACAGUAGUACUGAAUGUUGAUUUCUCUUUACAUAAAUGUAAGUGCAUGAUUAGUUUUGAGAAAUAGUUUUAUGCAUUAUUUUGAUAUAUCUGCGUCUCUCCUGGUCUGAUUGUAGUAGAAAAAAAAUUAGUUGGUGUGGGUUCCCUAUAUUUUAGUGCUAACUACAAUCUAUAUCUCGUGGUAACAACAUAUGUUAGUCAGCUGGGUGCCCAUAUAUAUGCAUAACUAAUGGAGCUUUUACACUGAAUUAUUGCGAUGAGCAUAACAAUGAACUGAGAAAGAGAAAGGAAGCGAAACCGCGAUUCCAUGAUUUUGAAAGAAAUGGAACGAAACACCAUGCUCGGACAUGGCAAGGACGAGAUGCCGGCUGCUCGGAUAGUGAGGCGAAGACGUUGAAGGAGUAAUGAAUGCAGACACGGCAAGGACGAGAAGCAGGGCAAGGACGAUGUUGGGCCACUAGGACACAACGACGCGAAGACGUGUUCAGGCAAUCCUGCACGGCGGAGUUGUAGGUGGACAUGGCGGUGAAGAUUUUUUUUGUG